GGCUCGGUAGUGGAUGGUCCACGCCUCCAAAUAAUGGCCAUCACAUCGCGAUCUUGAGGAGGAACCGCCCGUUCGACUCGGGCCCGAGCCA
Molecule: non-coding RNA, 91 nt
Organism: Mycena leptocephala
Lineage: Eukaryota; Fungi; Basidiomycota; Agaricomycetes; Agaricales; Mycenaceae
Source: the annotation of a GenBank genome assembly